This 533-nucleotide ribosomal RNA is filed under the name uncultured bacterium. RNAcentral's name for it is "bacterial SSU rRNA". It matches the Rfam family "Bacterial small subunit ribosomal RNA", at positions 977 to 1509 of the family's 1533-position model. The record is from RNAcentral.
GGCCUUGACAUACUAAGAACUUUCCAGAGAUGGAUUGGUGCCUUCGGGAACUUAGAUACAGGUGCUGCAUGGCUGUCGUCAGCUCGUGUCGUGAGAUGUUGGGUUAAGUCCCGCAACGAGCGCAACCCUUUUCCUUAUUUGCCAGCGGGUCAUGCCGGGAACUUUAAGGAUACUGCCAGUGACAAACUGGAGGAAGGCGGGGACGACGUCAAGUCAUCAUGGCCCUUACGGCCAGGGCUACACACGUGCUACAAUGGUCGGUACAAAGGGUUGCUACCUCGCGAGAGGAUGCUAAUCUCAAAAAGCCGAUCGUAGUCCGGAUCGCAGUCUGCAACUCGACUGCGCGAAGUCGGAAUCGCUAGUAAUCGCGGAUCAGAAUGCCGCGGUGAAUACGUUCCCGGGCCUUGUACACACCGCCCGUCACACCAUGGGAGUUUGUUGCACCAGAAGUAGGUAGUCUAACCGCAAGGAGGACGCUUACCACGGUGUGGCCGAUGACUGGGGUGAAGUCGUAACAAGGUAAGCGUAGAUGA